CCUACGGGGGGCUGCAGUGGGGAAUAUUGCACAAUGGGCGCAAGCCUGAUGCAGCGACGCCGCGUGAGGGAUGACGGCCUUCGGGUUGUAAACCUCUUUCAGUAGGGAAGAAGCGAAAGUGACGGUACCUACAGAAGAAGCACCGGCUAACUACGUGCCAGCAGCCGCGGUAAUACGUAGGGUGCGAGCGUUAUCCGGAAUUAUUGGGCGUAAAGAGCUCGUAGGCGGUUUGUCGCGUCUGUCGUGAAAGUCCGGGGCUUAACCCCGGAUCUGCGGUGGGUACGGGCAGACUAGAGUGCAGUAGGGGAGACUGGAAUUCCUGGUGUAGCGGUGGAAUGCGCAGAUAUCAGGAGGAACACCGAUGGCGAAGGCAGGUCUCUGGGCUGUAACUGACGCUGAG
This 400-nucleotide ribosomal RNA is filed under the name Micrococcus sp. RNAcentral's name for it is "bacterial SSU rRNA". It matches the Rfam family "Bacterial small subunit ribosomal RNA", at positions 338 to 750 of the family's 1533-position model. The record is from RNAcentral. Lineage: Bacteria; Bacillati; Actinomycetota; Actinomycetes; Micrococcales; Micrococcaceae.